GUGAAGAACGUAGCGAAAUGCGAUACUUGGUGUGAAUUGCAGAAUCCCGUGAACCAUCGAGUCUUUGAACGCAAGUUGCGCCCGAAGCCACUAGGCCGAGGGCACGCCUGCCUGGGCGUCACACGUCGUUGCCCCCCCAUCUACUCCUUCGGGAUUGCGGGGGGGCGGAUGAUGGCCUCCCGUGCGCCUAGCCGCGCGGUUGGCAUAAAUACCAAGUCCUCGGCGACGCACGCCACGACAAUCGGUGGUUGCGAAACCUCGGUUGCCCGUCGUGUGCGUUCGUCGCGCAUCGAGGGCUCGAAAAAAUGCUCGGCUCCGGCUGGGCUUUCAACGCGACCCCAGGUCAGGCGGGGUUACCCGCUGAAUUUAAGCAUAUCAAUAAGCGGAGGA
RNAcentral lists this unclassified non-coding RNA (390 nucleotides) under soil metagenome. Its description in RNAcentral is "partial contains 5.8S ribosomal RNA, internal transcribed spacer 2, and large subunit ribosomal RNA". The stretch from base 2 to 121 matches the Rfam family "5.8S ribosomal RNA", at positions 37 to 154 of the family's 154-position model. The record is from RNAcentral.